GGGUGAGUAAUGCGUCGGAACGUACCGAGUAAUGGGGGAUAACGCAGCGAAAGUUGUGCUAAUACCGCAUACGCCCUGAGGGGGAAAGUGGGGGAUCGUAAGACCUCACGUUAUUCGAGCGGCCGACGUCUGAUUAGCUAGUUGGUGGGGUAAAGGCCCACCAAGGCGACGAUCAGUAGCGGGUCUGAGAGGAUGAUCCGCCACACUGGGACUGAGACACGGCCCAGACUCCUACGGGAGGCAGCAGUGGGGAAUUUUGGACAAUGGGGGCAACCCUGAUCCAGCCAUUCCGCGUGAGUGAAGAAGGCCUUCGGGUUGUAAAGCUCUUUCAGCUGGAGAGAAACGGUGAGCUCUAACAUAGCUUGCUAAUGACGGUACCAGCAGAAGAAGCAUCGGCUAACUACGUGCCAGCAGCCGCGGUAAUACGUAGGGUGCGAGCGUUAAUCGGAAUUACUGGGCGUAAAGCGUGCGCAGGCGGAUUGUUAAGCACGACGUGAAAUCCCCGGGCUUAACCUGGGAAUGGCGUUUUGAACUGGCAGUCUAGAGUGCGUCAGAGGGGGGUGGAAUUCCACGUGUAGCAGUGAAAUGCGUAGAGAUGUGGAGGAACACCGAUGGCGAAGGCAGCCCCCUGGGAUGACACUGACGCUCAUGUACGAAAGCGUGGGUAGCAAACAGGAUUAGAUACCCUGGUAGUCCACGCCCUAAACGAUGUCAACUGGUUGUUGGGGGAAUGAAACGAUGUCAACUGGUUGUUGGGGGAAUGAAAUCCCUUAGUAACGAAGCUAACGCGUGAAGUUGACCGCCUGGGGAGUACGGUCGCAAGAUUAAAACUCAAAGGAAUUGACGGGGACCCGCACAAGCGGUGGAUGAUGUGGAUUAAUUCGAUGCAACGCGAAAAACCUUACCUACCCUUGACAUGUCCGGAAUCCUGCAGAGAUGCGGGAGUGCCCGAAAGGGAAUCGGAACACAGGUGCUGCAUGGCUGUCGUCAGCUCGUGUCGUGAGAUGUUGGGUUAAGUCCCGCAACGAGCGCAACCCUUAUCAUUAGUUGCUACGCAAGGGCACUCUAAUGAGACUGCCGGUGACAAACCGGAGGAAGGUGGGGAUGACGUCAAGUCCUCAUGGCCCUUAUGGGUAGGGCUUCACACGUCAUACAAUGGUCGGUACAGAGGGUUGCCAAGCCGCGAGGUGGAGCCAAUCCCAGAAAGCCGAUCGUAGUCCGGAUUGUUCUCUGCAACUCGAGAGCAUGAAGUCGGAAUCGCUAGUAAUCGCGGAUCAGCAUGUCGCGGUGAAUACGUUCCCGGGUCUUGUACACACCGCCCGUCACACCAUGGGAGUGGAAUCUGGCAGAAGUAGGUAGCCUAACCGCAAGGAGGGCGCUUACCACGCUGGGUUUCAAGAGGUGGGGUG
Molecule: ribosomal RNA, 1409 nt
Filed under: uncultured bacterium
Lineage: Bacteria
Description: bacterial SSU rRNA
Rfam family: Bacterial small subunit ribosomal RNA
Source: RNAcentral